GAUGAACGCUGGCGGCGUGCCUAAUACAUGCAAGUCGAGCGAACGGACGAGAAGCUUGCUUCUCUGAUGUUAGCGGCGGACGGGUGAGUAACACGUGGAUAACCUACCUAUAAGACUGGGAUAACUUCGGGAAACCGGAGCUAAUACCGGAUGAUAUUUUGAACCGCAUGGUUCAAAAGUGAAAGACGGUCUUGCUGUCACUUAUAGAUGGAUCCGCGCUGCAUUAGCUAGUUGGUAAGGUAACGGCUUACCAAGGCAACGAUGCAUAGCCGACCUGAGAGGAUGAUCGGCCACACUGGAACUGAGACACGGUCCAGACUCCUACGGGAGGCAGCAGUAGGGAAUAUUCCGCAAUGGGCGAAAGCCUGACGGAGCAACGCCGCGUGAGUGAUGAAGGUCUUCGGAUCGUAAAACUCUGUUAUUAGGGAAGAACAUAUGUGUAAGUAACUGUGCACGUCUUGACGGUACCUACUCAGAAAGCCACGGCUAACUACGUG
This 497-nucleotide ribosomal RNA is filed under the name uncultured bacterium. RNAcentral's name for it is "partial 16S ribosomal RNA". It matches the Rfam family "Bacterial small subunit ribosomal RNA", at positions 28 to 507 of the family's 1533-position model. The record is from RNAcentral.